RNAcentral lists this ribosomal RNA (305 nucleotides) under uncultured bacterium. RNAcentral describes it as "bacterial SSU rRNA". It matches the Rfam family "Bacterial small subunit ribosomal RNA", at positions 333 to 635 of the family's 1533-position model. The record is from RNAcentral.
UACCGCCUACGGGGCGCAGCAGUGAGGAAUAUUGGUCAAUGGGAGAGAUCCUGAACCAGCCAAGCCGCGUGAGGGAAGACGGCCCUAUGGGUUGUAAACCUCUUUUGUCAGGGAGCAACGCCGGCUACGUGUAGCCGGACUGAGAGUACCUGAAGAAAAAGCAUCGGCUAACUCCGUGCCAGCAGCCGCGGUAAUACGGAGGAUGCGAGCGUUAUCCGGAUUUAUUGGGUUUAAAGGGUGCGUAGGCGGAAUGCCAAGUCAGCGGUAAAAUCGCGGGGCUCAACCUCGCUCCGCCGUUGAAACUG